Molecule: ribosomal RNA, 254 nt
Filed under: uncultured bacterium
Lineage: Bacteria
Description: partial 16S ribosomal RNA
Rfam family: Bacterial small subunit ribosomal RNA
Source: RNAcentral
UACAGAGGUCCCGAGCGUUGUUCGGAUUCACUGGGCGUAAAGGGUGCGUAGGCGGUUUGGUAAGUCUGAUGUGAAAUCUAUGGGCUCAACUCAUAGUCUGCAUCGGAAACUGCCGGGCUUGAGUGUGGGAGAGGUGAGUGGAAUUCCUGGUGUAGCGGUGAAAUGCGUAGAUAUCAGGAGGAACACCUGUGGCGAAGGCGGCUACCUGGCAUGAUACUGACACUGAGGCGCGGAGAGCGUGGGGAGCAAACAGG